UACGUAGGUGGCGAGCGUUGUCCGGAUUUACUGGGCGUAAAGGGAGCGUAGGCGGACUUUUAAGUGAGAUGUGAAAUACUCGGGCUCAACUUGAGUGCUGCAUUUCAAACUGGAAGUCUAGAGUGCAGGAGAGGAGAAUGGAAUUCCUAGUGUAGCGGUGAAAUGCGUAGAGAUUAGGAAGAACACCAGUGGCGAAGGCGGCUCUCUGGACUGUAACUGACACUGAGGCACGAAAGCGUGGGGAGCAAACAGG
Molecule: ribosomal RNA, 253 nt
Filed under: uncultured bacterium
Lineage: Bacteria
Description: partial 16S ribosomal RNA
Rfam family: Bacterial small subunit ribosomal RNA
Source: RNAcentral